UGCAGAACGAAAGAUUGGGGGUCGGUGUGAAGAGCGGGAGAGAGGAUUACGGGAGCUGUUGUCGCCGAAAGAAAUUUUCCUCUGGAUCUUCCGUGCUAGAUCAGAUCUCUGAGUGGGCAAUGGAAGUUCCCAUAAAUGCCAAUGAACUGUUCGUAGCUACCAAUUGCCAUAUAUCUCUGCGUGGUCCCCUGAAUCACAGGAUAUAUGCACUCGACCUCUGAUCACCGUCCGAUUAUCAACGAGAGAGGAGGGAAGCUUUUUUUGCAGGACUUGGUCGCCGUCAAUUGCCGUUUUCCAUUGUGGUGUCAUAUUCAACCAACUUCUUUCAGCAACGGCAACCCAUCCUAUCUUCAGAGUCUUAAACAACGAUUUAACUAGCACAUUACUGAGAUUUAACAUUUGAUUACAUAUUUAACUGAGAAAAAUAUUGCUAAAUUAAUAUAAUCUUUAUGGUAAAGUUCACCCAGUUUCCUCUAGUUUUGGAUGAACAUUUAUAUUCAUUAAUUUAUAUAAAUUCCCUCUGUAUAGAGAAGAACCCCUUUUAAGAUCCCCAUAGAUUUUACUUUUCAGAUCCCUAUAGUUUUAGUUAUUUGAACUAUUAACUUCCCAAAGAUGUUUCUAUGGGAAAAAA
This is a long non-coding RNA of Diospyros lotus (date-plum), 631 nucleotides long. RefSeq lists it as uncharacterized. Lineage: Eukaryota; Viridiplantae; Streptophyta; Magnoliopsida; Ericales; Ebenaceae. The transcript has 3 exons. The record is from RefSeq and is a predicted model, not a curated record.